GCCUAACACAUGCAAGUCGAACGGAUAUAUUGGCGAUAGCAAUAUUGCUAAUAUGUUAGUGGCGGACGGGUGAGUAACACAUGAGUAACCUGCCUUAUACAGGGGGAUAACACUUAGAAAUAGGUGCUAAUACCGCAUAAUAACUCUAGACGGCAUCGUAAAGAGAGGAAAAGGGGAAACCUGGUAAAAGAUGGGCUCAUGUUCGAUUAGCUAGUUGGUGGGGUAAAGGCCUACCAAGGCAACGAUCGAUAGCCGAACUGAGAGGUUGAACGGCCACAUUGGAACUGAGAGACGGUCCAGACUCCUACGGGAGGCAGCAGUGGGGGAUAUUGCGCAAUGGGGGGAAAAACCCCUGACGCAGCAACGCCGUGUGAAGGAAGAAGGCUUUAGGGUUGUAAACUUCUUUGAUUAGGGACGAAAGAAAUGACUGUACCUAAAGAACAAGCCACGGCUAACUACGUGCCAGCCGCCGC
This 473-nucleotide ribosomal RNA is filed under the name uncultured bacterium. RNAcentral describes it as "bacterial SSU rRNA". It matches the Rfam family "Bacterial small subunit ribosomal RNA", at positions 46 to 518 of the family's 1533-position model. The record is from RNAcentral.